CAGGAACGUGGAGCCCGGCAGUGGGACCAGCUCCAUCCCGCCGAGAUGGUGGACACGGAGAGCCCGAUUGGUCCCCUCUCCCCACUCGAGGCUGAUGAUCUGGAAAGUCCACUCUCUGAAGAAUUCCUACAAGAAAUGGGAACCAUUCAAGAGAUUUCUCAAUCCAUUGGUGAGGACAGUUCUGGAAGCUUUAGUUUUACAGAAUACCAGUAUUUAGGAAGUGGUCCAGGAUCAGAUGGCUCCGUUAUUACAGACACCCUCUCGCCAGCCUCGAGUCCCUCGUCCAUCUCUUACCCUGUGGUUCCUGGCAGCGCCGAGGAAUCGUCCAGCGUAGCACUGAACAUCGAGUGUAGAAUCUGUGGGGACAAAGCCUCGGGCUACCAUUACGGAGUUCACGCAUGUGAAGGCUGCAAGGGUUUCUUUCGGAGAACUAUUCGGCUAAAGCUGGCAUAUGACACAUGUGACCGUAGCUGCAAGAUUCAGAAAAAGAAUCGGAAUAAGUGCCAGUAUUGUCGUUUUCACAAGUGCCUUUCAGUUGGGAUGUCCCAUAAUGCAAUUCGUUUCGGACGAAUGCCAAGAUCUGAAAAAGCAAAAUUGAAAGCAGAAAUCCUUACAUGUGAACAUGACCUAGAAAAUUCCGAAACCGCAGAUCUCAAAUCUCUCGCCAAGAGGAUUUACGAGGCCUACUUGAAGAACUUCAACAUGAACAAGGUCAAGGCCCGGGUCAUCCUCGCGGGAAAGGCCAGCAACAAUCCGCCUUUCGUCAUACACGACAUGGAGACGUUAUGUAUGGCCGAGAAGACUCUCGUGGCCAAGCUGGUGGCCAACGGCGUCCAGAACAAGGAGGCAGAGGUCCGCAUCUUCCACUGCUGUCAGUGCACGUCUGUGGAGACGGUCACGGAGCUCACGGAAUUCGCCAAGGCCAUCCCGGGCUUCGCAAACUUGGACUUGAACGACCAAGUCACUUUGCUGAAAUAUGGAGUUUACGAGGCCAUAUUUGCAAUGCUGUCUUCUGUGAUGAAUAAAGACGGCAUGCUGGUAGCAUAUGGAAAUGGUUUUAUAACUCGCGAAUUCCUAAAAAGCCUAAGAAAACCAUUUUGUGAUAUCAUGGAGCCCAAGUUCGAUUUUGCAAUGAAGUUUAAUGCGCUGGAGCUGGACGACAGCGAUAUCUCCCUUUUUGUGGCUGCUAUAAUUUGCUGUGGAGAUCGGCCCGGCCUUCUAAAUGUGGGACACAUUGAAAAAAUGCAGGAGGGUAUCGUGCACGUGCUCAAACUUCACUUACAGAGCAACCAUCCCGACGACAUCUUUCUCUUCCCAAAACUCCUGCAAAAGAUGGCCGAUCUGCGGCAGCUGGUCACGGAGCAUGCGCAACUGGUGCAGGUGAUCAAGAAGACAGAGUCCGACGCCGCCCUGCACCCGCUGCUGCAGGAAAUUUACAGGGAUAUGUACUGAUUUCUUGGAAAUGCACACAAAAAAGAAACUUUUCAAGCGUUUUUAAAGGCGACAGCACUACAAGUGAGAGAUGGGAGCAACGCAACUUUGCACAAAUGUCACCAUUUGAACCUGGGACAAAGGAAAGUAUGAGCUCUAGGUUUCAGCAGACGUCAGCAUGAGGUCCAAUGGAAGCAGGUUCCAGAAGCUUCAAACCACAAGCGUGGAGCUGGCAGCCCGGGAUGCUGGAUGCAGGAAAUGGCAGGACCCCCUCUCACCACCUUGACCCGCUCUUCAAGCCACUGUUGAAACCUGGUUCUUCCUUUCCUCAACUUGUCAUCACAGAAAGUGCCAGACUCCUCAGAGACCACAGAUUACCAGGCAGCCUUUGUCUGGGAAGGGGGGGACCAUGGGGCUCCUCCAGGACACCCUGCUGCCGUCCUGCCAACGCCCCUCCUCUCUGCCUCCUGGGCAUUUCCAGUUGGGGGUCCCAUGCCCUGCCUUCUGCCCCUGCCACCCUGUGAGAAGCCUGAGGGCCGCACAUGCAGGCCGCCGCCGCCCUGACGUCCAGUAUUGUCAGAAACGGGGCGCCCCAGCCGUCAGAGGAGCAUUUUGACUACUGCCAGAGCGCCAGAGCCCUUCCUGCUGCCUGCCUGGCCUCCGGUUUCCCUGUGACCUUUCUACAGCUCUCCGGUGAGAGGCGUUUCAAGCAUCUUCCCAAAGAGGAUAUGUGCACAGGGGUAGACAGUGAAUGUGAAUUGAGGGGAAAGAAUUCCAGAAUUCCAGAACGUCUGUCCGUGAGAGCUGUCCCUGUUAAAGGGAGUCCUUCCUUCUACUUUAGGAGCACAGAACGCACCUUUCCACGGUACUGAUGCGUUUCCUACCCUGGGCCACAUGGAACUCUAAGGAAACAGACGACCUUGAGGACCGUGGACGUUCCAGCAAAGGGCAGCAGCCUAAGAUCUGAGCAGAAGCUCAAGGCCCACGUAAGAUCCUUUGUUUGACAUAUGGUGAUAAGUACUAUUAAUUGAGCAACUACUGUUUUCCCAAACCUACAGCAUGACAGCUACCUCAAUAGAGCUAUCAAGAGAUACUGUUAAAAUUAAGGUCCACGGAAACACUGGGCCUUUUGGUGCAGCUCUAGUCAGACCAUCUAUCGUUAGGGCUCGGAGGCUGGAUGCUCACCUUUGCUGUGUGCACACUGAGGAAUGGGAGGUUGUGUGGAUUUUUAAAGGAAUUUUAUUGUUUAAAGGGAGCCUUGGGAAUUCCCUGGUGGUCCAGCGGUUAGGACUCCACCCUUUCACUGCCGAGGGCCCGGGUGACCUGCUCACCCAGGGCCACGUCCUCUUGAGCUACGCCUGCUGGCCACGCAUGAGCCUGUUCAUGGGGAAAUCCUGGCAGAUGAGGGUGGAGAGAUGCCUGCGUGCAAAGCCUUGGUCACACCGCGGCUUCGCGAGGCCUCGCCACGCCCCAGCCCCACCUGUGCCCCUCUGUGCCUGACUCCUUUUCAAGCCGCUAUGACACUGGGCACGUUUGACACCUGGUGGCCAGACGCACGAUGGAGGGUUUUUUGUUUUUUGUUUUUGUCCUGACCCAAUGACCACACCUGUCUCUGGAAUGUCUUUAAAAGCCCUGUUUAAAUAUAAGCCCAUUGUUUCAACCAGGGAGUCCGGGCGCUCCCAGCUAAGACCAGCUUGAUCACCGGCCUGGCCUUUUAUGGGGGCUUCCAGGGACCGGGGGAAAACCAGCCACCUUCAAGUGCCUCUUCCACCCGUGUGGCCUUUCAAAGCGCAGAUCGCACGAGGAAGACUGUGCCAGGUGGGUGCUCACGGCUCCCCACCCGCGCUGUCCAUGCAAGCUCCUGCUGUCGCCUCCAAUCCUCAGCCCCGUCUUCAAGUGGAAACACCGGCUUGGACGAAGGGCCGCCCGGCGGUGCAGGGUUAGCCCCAGGGGUGGCCUGCUUCCCGCACUUCCCGCCCCUGCAUUUAAGACGGGCAAGGGUGCGGCGAGGCGCUCCCUGUGGGUUAGCCCGGUGCCCGGGCUGCACGUGUUCCCGGAGGGGUCACUUGUUCUUAGGUUCACAACAGUGGUGUCGAUUCAGGAGAUGCAAGGAAAUUGUACUGUCCAUAGGCGUCGCAAACGAAGACCGAUGCCACCAGCGGGGGGCUCAGCGAUUACUAAAAAGUGUCCAGGGAGGAUUUUCGCCACACUCACUGUUCCCGCGGCGUUGGUGGUGCGGGCACGGGACGGUUCCAAAGACAAGACUGUAUUUAUUCUUCUCGUUUUGUAAGCGGCCCAGCUUCUCUUAAGUCUUGGUCCAAGCUGAUUUACGGGACUCCCCCGGGAUUAUGGAUCCGUACCAACCAAGUCUUUGCGUGGAGCUGACAGCUAAGGGGGCUCUUGCCUUCCUGACAGCAGUGACUUCCAGGCGGCACAGCAGGCAGGCCCCGCAGGCAGCUCGGCUGGGAGGAGCGGACGAAGGGCGGGACAGGGAAUGCUGACUGCGUCCCCACCCCCGCUAACUGGGCGUCUUCCUCCUUCUCGUGCAAAAGGACUUUUCCGGUGGCGUGUUCUCCUCUAGGGACCUUCUGCCCAGAAAGAUCCAAGGUUAGGCUCCAAAGGCUGAGGUCUAAAAGUUUUUGCUGAGAUUUGUAUCUAUUUUUAGGUGCCAUUUUAAUACAAUUCAGGAAAAUGGUCGUUGACCCUCAGUCCCUGAAACACACGGGAGUGAGAACAAAGGCAGUAAAUUUGGUCUGACUCAGAAUAUAGGAGGCCCGUUCUACUUCUGUGGAAACUACAGGACAAACUAAAAUGUGAGAGUGGAAGUUUUGCAAGGAAAAGAAUAAGACAACGCGUCUUCACGCUUUCAUUUAAAGAAUGAUGUAACGCUUUGCAUGAUGCUGUUUGUGGAAGGCGGCAGGUCCUUAAACUUAGCAGAGUGGGCUGCUGUGGGUACGGCUGCUUAUUAGGGCAGAGAGUGAGAAGCCGCCGCCCGGGGCUCAUUUCCAGACGCCCUUUCCCGGCUUGAGGCACCCGGACUCCUCAGAUCUAGAGGGGGCCUCUCGACAGACCAUCUGCUUCUCAGAAUUUCAGUUUCAGACGAGAGAAGCGUAACCGUUUACUUCCACCCCCCUGAGAAAGGGGAGCCAUGUACCGUGGUCCGGGGGACACAUGCAGUCACAUCCUUCUGGAAUCCUUUGCCACAUAGAACAAGACCACGCUGCAUCCACGUCAAGGUCACAUCUUGACUCCAGCAACUGGUAAACAUCAAGGACUUCAGGCCCCGCGGCUGUUAAAUGCAUUAUGUGAAGAAAAUCGAGUAUCAAUUUUUUUCCUCACAAAUAGCAAAUUAAGACCUGGGUCAGGUAUUUUUCAUUUAAAAUGUGUUUGCUAGUUUGGGUGGAAUGUGAAAAGCUUCCGUGUUUUUCCCCAGAGAAGGUAAUCCACCAGCCUCCUCCUCUCUUGCCCUUCUCCCCCCUGCUGUCACCCUCAGCAUCUAAAAUUCAUUAAGUGAUGAACAUUACGGCGUCAUGCCAGCCGGAGCACAGACAAGCUCCCCACAAUUGAGCCCUGGCUCCCCUGACAAGGGGUGGGGGCCGCUGAGUCUCCAGGCCCUGAACACAAGUGAGUGGCUCAUCUUUUCAAGGUCAAAUCAUUCACUUUGGGCAAAUGUCUUU
This is an RNA transcript of Physeter macrocephalus (sperm whale), 5108 nucleotides long. It is a transcript of the gene named peroxisome proliferator activated receptor alpha, with no coding region annotated. NCBI's taxonomy places the organism in Eukaryota, Metazoa, Chordata, Mammalia, Artiodactyla, Physeteridae. The transcript is spliced from 7 exons. The record is from RefSeq and is a predicted model, not a curated record.